RNAcentral lists this ribosomal RNA (468 nucleotides) under uncultured bacterium. RNAcentral describes it as "partial 16S ribosomal RNA". It matches the Rfam family "Bacterial small subunit ribosomal RNA", at positions 28 to 507 of the family's 1533-position model. The record is from RNAcentral.
GACGAACGCUGGCGGCGUGCUUAACACAUGCCAGUCGAACGGAAAGCCCCUGCUUUUGUGGGGUGCUCGAGUGGCGAACGGGUGAUUAACACGUGAGUAACCUGCCCUUGACUUUGGGAUAACUUCAGGAAACUGGGGCUAAUACCGGAUAGGAGCUCCUGCUGCAUGGUGGGGGUUGGAAAGUUUCGGCGGUUGGGGAUGGACUCGCGGCUUAUCAGCUUGUUGGUGGGGUAGUGGCUUACCAAGGCUUUGACGGGUAGCCGGCCUGAGAGGGUGACCGGCCACAUUGGGACUGAGAUACGGCCCAGACUCCUACGGGAGGCAGCAGUGGGGAAUAUUGCACAAUGGGCGGAAGCCUGAUGCAGCAACGCCGCGUGCGGGAUGACGGCCUUCGGGUUGUAAACCGCUUUCGCCUGUGACGAAGCGUGAGUGACGGUAAUGGGUAAAGAAGCACCGGCUAACUACGUG